UUCGGUUCGGUUUUUUCCCCUUCCAAACCGGUUCAAACCGAAAUUUUUAUACUUGCUUCCAUUUUCCAAAAAAUCAAACUCCAAUUUUCGUUUUGUUCUCCUUGUCCAGAAGUUAAACCCUGCAAAAAAUACACAAAACAAAAGGAUUUGACUGUAAAAAAAUAAAGAGAAAAUCAAAAGUUAUUGAAAUGUAAAAUCAUCAAAAAACAUGGAGGAGAAGAAUACAGAUUUGAGAGAUGAGAGACAAGAAAAGCAUCGAGAGCAUUGAUACAGAAACCGUUGAGAGUGCAGAGUUUUUAGAUCUUGGUUUCUCUGAAAUCCCAA
RNAcentral lists this long non-coding RNA (324 nucleotides) under Populus tremula. RNAcentral's name for it is "long non-coding RNA (PTRE_LNC002831)". Lineage: Eukaryota; Viridiplantae; Streptophyta; Magnoliopsida; Malpighiales; Salicaceae. The record is from RNAcentral.